GCGCAGCAGGCGCGAAACCUCCGCAAUACACGAAAGUGUGACGGGCCAUCCCGAGUGCCGUCCGCUGAGGACGGCUUUUCCCAGUGUACAUAGCUGGGGAAUAAGGAGAGGGCAAGCCUGGUGUCAGCCGCCGCGGUAAGUACCAGCUCGUCCGAGUGGUGGGACGCUUAUUGGGCCUAAAGCAAGUCCGUAGCCGGCUGGGCAAGUCCUCCGUUAAAUCCAACGAUU
RNAcentral lists this ribosomal RNA (228 nucleotides) under uncultured microorganism. RNAcentral describes it as "partial 16S ribosomal RNA". It matches the Rfam family "Archaeal small subunit ribosomal RNA", at positions 330 to 559 of the family's 1478-position model. The record is from RNAcentral.